AUAUUCCCGUACCCGUGUCAGAUCGCCCCUGAUGAAUCAGUUGUACUAACCGUCCUGAAGCCGCGAGAUCACCUUCGGGUGACGAGCUGGUGGAUGCACGGGACCUCGGCUGGUAGUAGUCAAGCGAUGGGGUGACGCAGGAAGGUAGUGGGGCCAGUCAGUGGUUGUACUGGUGUAAGCCUGUAGGGCGAGAUCUAGGCAAAUCCGGAUCUCAUAUAAGCCUGAGAGGUGAUGCGUAGCCGUUGCGGCGAAUUCCAUGAUCCUAUGCUGCCGAGAAAAGCCUCUAGCGAGAUCUGAUGUGGCCCGUACCCCAAACCAACACAGGUGGUCAGGUAGAGAAUACCAAGGAGAUCGAGAGAACUGUGGUUAAGGAACUCGGCAAAAUGCCCCCGUAACUUCGGGAGAAGGGGGACCUCGUCUGGUGAUGAUCUUUACGGUCGGAGCUGGGUGGGGUCGCAGAGACCAGAGAGAAGCGACUGUUUACUAAAAACACAGGUCCAUGCGAAGUCGUAAGACGAUGUAUAUGGACUGACGCCUGCCCGGUGCUGGAAGGUUAAGAGGACCGGUUAGCCGUAAGGCGAAGCUGAGAAUUUAAGCCCCAGUAAACGGCGGUGGUAACUAUAACCAUCCUAAGGUAGCGAAAUUCCUUGUCGGGUAAGUUCCGACCUGCACGAAUGGCGUAACGACUUCUCUGCUGUCUCAACCACAGACUCGGCGAAAUUGCAGUACGAGUAAAGAUGCUCGUUACGCGCGGCAGGACGAAAAGACCCCGGGACCUUCACUAUAGCUUGGUAUUGGUGUUCGGUUCGGUUUGUGUAGGAUAGGUGGGAGACUGUGAAGCGGGCACGCCAGUGUUCGUGGAGUCGUUGUUGAAAUACCACUCUGAUCGUAUUGGAUACCUCAACCUCGGACCAUGAUCUGGUUCAGGGACAGUGCCUGGUGGGUAGUUUAACUGGGGCGGUUGCCUCCCAAAAUGUAACGGAGGCGCCCAAAGGUUCCCUCAGCCUGGUUGGCAAUCAGGUGUUGAGUGCAAGUGCACAAGGGAGCUUGACUGUGAGACUGACAGGUCGAGCAGGGACGAAAGUCGGGACUAGUGAUCCGGCACCGGCAAGUGGAAGCGGUGUCGCUCAACGGAUAAAAGGUACCCCGGGGAUAACAGGCUGAUCUUCCCCAAGAGUCCAUAUCGACGGGAUGGUUUGGCACCUCGAUGUCGGCUCGUCGCAUCCUGGGGCUGGAGUAGGUCCCAAGGGUUGGGCUGUUCGCCCAUUAAAGCGGCACGCGAGCUGGGUUUAGAACGUCGUGAGACAGUUCGGUCUCUAUCCGCCGCGCGCGUUAGAAUCUUGAGGAAGGCUGUCCCUAGUACGAGAGGACCGGGACGGACGAACCUCUGGUGUGCCAGUUGUUCCACCAGGAGCACGGCUGGUUGGCUACGUUCGGAAGGGAUAACCGCUGAAAGCAUCUAAGCGGGAAGCCUGUUCCAAGAUUAGGAUUCUCACCACCUUGAGUGGGUAAGACCCCCUACAGACUAUGGGGUUGAUAGGCCAGAACUGGAAGCGCAGUAAUGCGUGUAGGUGACUGGUACUAAUCGGUCGAGGGCUUACCACACA
This 1607-nucleotide ribosomal RNA is filed under the name Tsukamurella pulmonis. RNAcentral's name for it is "bacterial LSU rRNA". It matches the Rfam family "Bacterial large subunit ribosomal RNA", at positions 1365 to 2925 of the family's 2925-position model. The record is from RNAcentral. Lineage: Bacteria; Bacillati; Actinomycetota; Actinomycetes; Mycobacteriales; Tsukamurellaceae.